AUGAAUGAAGAUAUUGAACAGGUCCGUCAUGUCUCGGUGCUGUGGGCGUGUCGUGUCAGGGGGAGGGGUGGACCACUCACUCACUGCCGUGCCCGUGCAGCUGCAGCGGUAGGGCGGAGUGUCAGCGUUGGCCGUGGAUCAUGGUCCCUUCUUCCUCAGCAGCACCAUUCAGCUCACCACAGAAGCUGUGUUUUUUUCUUCUUGGUUUUUCACUUUCUACUUCUUGUUCGGUCUGUGCUGUUGCUUUCCGGCAUUGUAGCAACGCAUUGCCGGACGGGGACAGCGACGGGAUGGAACGGACGGAGCCACGGAGGGGACAUGCUUUUCUUGCGACGCGUAAAAAAAAACGACGGAUGCCCACGCCGUCCGCGUCCGGAGAUCGGAUGA
RNAcentral lists this ribosomal RNA (387 nucleotides) under Triticum aestivum (bread wheat). Its description in RNAcentral is "partial small subunit ribosomal RNA". The record is from RNAcentral. Lineage: Eukaryota; Viridiplantae; Streptophyta; Magnoliopsida; Poales; Poaceae.